GGGGCCAGCGUUGAAUUCCACUGUGCUGUGCCCAGCGACCGGGGUACCCAGCUCCGUUGGUUCAAGGAAGGGGGUCAGCUGCCUCCAGGUCACAGCGUGCAGGAUGGGGUGCUCCGAAUCCAGAACUUGGACCAGAGCUGCCAAGGGACAUAUAUAUGCCAGGCCCAUGGACCUUGGGGGAAGGCCCAGGCCAGUGCCCAGCUGGUUGUCCAAGGUAGGAGGGUGGCUUCAGGCCUCUGCUAAGAGCAGGGAACAGAGAUGAGACAGGGAGAGAGGCACAGGGCCCAGACCCUGUUCCCUAGGAAUCCCCCUAAAUAUGUCAGAAUAAAGAGAAUUAUUCUAUUUUGCCUUGCUUGUGUCUAGCAUAGAGUAAAAGGGGCUUGAUAAAUAUUUCAAGGGAGGGAAGAAGGAUAUGGGUGGAGUGUGUGAGUGCUCAGAUGAACCGAUGAAGAUUGAAUCAGUGUGAACCGGGCAUGGUGGAACACACCUGUAGUCCCAGCUACUCAGGAGGCUAAGCUUGGAGCAUUGCUUGAGCGCAUGAGUUCUAGGCUGCAGUGAGCCGUGAUCACACCUGUGAAUACAGCCAAGACCCUUUGUCUAAAAAAAAAAAGAUGUGGACACGUGAGUGAGUAAAUGCAUAAGACCUGACAAGUGAGUGUGUUUGUGAGUGAAUGCAUGAAAAAGUGAAUGAGGAAUGAAUGAAUGCUGGAACUUCAGUGCUCACCUUUCUUUGGGCAGUCUAUGGCCUCCCUCAGGCCAGGCCGGCAGUGACUGAUCUCACUGGACCUCUGCCUCCCUCCUCCCCAGCCCUGCCCUCGGUGCUCAUCAACAUCCGGACCUCUGUGCAGACCGUGGUGGUUGGCCACGCCGUGGAGUUCGAAUGCCUGGCACUGGGUGACCCCAAGCCUCAGGUGACAUGGAGCAAAGUUGGAGGGCACCUGCGGCCAGGCAUUGUGCAGAGCGGAGGUGUCGUCAGGAUCGCCCACGUAGAGCUGGCUGAUGCGGGACAGUAUCGCUGUACUGCCACCAACGCAGCCGGCACCACACAAUCCCACGUCCUGCUGCUUGUGCAAGCCUUGCCCCAGAUCUCAAUGCCCCAAGAAGUCCGUGUGCCUGCUGGUUCUGCAGCUGUCUUCCCCUGCAUAGCCUCAGGCUACCCUACUCCUGACAUCAGCUGGAGCAAGCUGGAUGGCAGCCUGCCACCCGACAGCCGCCUGGAGAACAACAUGCUGAUGCUGCCCUCAGUCCGACCCCAGGACGCAGGCACCUACGUCUGCACCGCCACUAAUCGCCAGGGCAAGGUCAAAGCCUUUGCCCACCUGCAGGUGCCAGAGCGGGUGGUGCCCUACUUCACGCAGACCCCCUACUCCUUCCUACCGCUGCCCACCAUCAAGGAUGCCUAUAGGAAGUUCGAGAUCAAGAUCACCUUCCGGCCCGACUCAGCCGAUGGUGAGCAGGAGGGUUAAUUUGCAGGGUGGGCUGGCCUGGGUUGAGGGACCUCGUGGAGUAACUGCCAUCAUGGCUUGAGCCCUGGCUGCCCCUCAGUCCUGCCCCAAUCCCUCAGCCCUCCCUCUCCAGGAGCCCCCAGACCUCUGGGCCUC
RNAcentral lists this small RNA (1601 nucleotides) under Pongo abelii (Sumatran orangutan). RNAcentral describes it as "retained intron". Lineage: Eukaryota; Metazoa; Chordata; Mammalia; Primates; Hominidae. The record is from RNAcentral.